RNAcentral lists this ribosomal RNA (550 nucleotides) under uncultured bacterium. RNAcentral's name for it is "bacterial SSU rRNA". It matches the Rfam family "Bacterial small subunit ribosomal RNA", at positions 244 to 811 of the family's 1533-position model. The record is from RNAcentral.
GGUAGUUGGUAGGGUAGAGGCCUACCAAGCCUGCGAUCGGUAGCCGGCCUGAGAGGGUGGACGGCCACAUUGGGACUGAGACACGGCCCAAACUCCUACGGGAGGCAGCAGUGGGGGAUAUUGCACAAUGGGCGAAAGCCUGAUGCAGCGACGCCGCGUGGGUGAAGAAGUACCUCGGUACGUAAAGCCCUAUCAGCAGGGAAGAAAAUGACGGUACCUGACUAAGAAGCUCCGGCUAAAUACGUGCCAGCAGCCGCGGUAAUACGUAUGGAGCAAGCGUUAUCCGGAUUUACUGGGUGUAAAGGGAGCGUAGGCGGCAUACCAAGCCUGAUGUGAAAACCCGGGGCCCAACCCCGGGAGUGCAUUGGGAACUGGCAAGCUAGAGUGUCGGAGAGGCAGGCGGAAUUCCUAGUGUAGCGGUGAAAUGCGUAGAUAUUAGGAGGAACACCAGUGGCGAAGGCGGCCUGCUGGACGAUGACUGACGCUGAGGCUCGAAAGCGUGGGGAGCAAACAGGAUUAGAUACCCUGGUAGUCCACGCCGUAAACGAUG